Molecule: long non-coding RNA, 280 nt
Organism: Lutra lutra (Eurasian river otter)
Lineage: Eukaryota; Metazoa; Chordata; Mammalia; Carnivora; Mustelidae
Exons: 3
Source: RefSeq, a predicted model, not a curated record
ACUGAUGCUAAGAACUUGAAGCAGGACUUGUCCCAUUUGGCUGCCACAGUUUUCUGUGAAAAGCCCUGCAGAAGCUGUUAACAAAAUUAUCUACCGGAGGGCAUCAGAAAGCAUCAUCAUUGGAAGUAGCAGUUGCCAUUCUCUGAUAAUCUAGUAAUGAAAAUGGUACAGAUUUGUACAAGCUAAACCAUAGGAAGAAGCAUGGGAACUAACGAAUUUGGAGCCUGGAUUGAAGUUACCUUUCCAGAGGAUUUGUGUUUACUUCUGCUGGUCGUCAAGG